GAGAAGGAAUCAGAUUCUGCAUAUAUUUCCAAGUUAACAUGAACAAGAUUUUCUGAAAGACUGCUAUGGAGUCUGAGAAAAAAUGUCAAAGGUAGUGCCAAAAUUGUCACUUAAAGAACUGCAGGAAUGGAGUUGGCAUUUACAGAAUUUGGAAGAGAAGCAGGUUUAGUGAUAAAGACCAGAAGCACAGAGCUAAGCAUAUUAAAUGUGAGUUGUCUAUUAGGCAUUCAAGAAGACAUAUAGAGUGGGCAGUGGCUAUAUGAGGCUAGAGUUCUGGGAAGGCUGGGCUGAUGACAGAAAUGUAUUAGUCAUUAACAUUUAUGUGUGUGUGUACACAUAUGCACAUGAACACUGGAUAUGCGAAUGCACAGAUUGAGGACAUGAAGAGGAAAGAACUGACAGAGGAGGUGAAGAAAGGUGAUCAGGAAGAGCCAUCAAAGUGUUAUCCUGGAAUUCAAGUGAAGACAGUGUUUCAAAGUGGAAAUGAACAGUGUCCUGUAACCCUCAGAGUGAGACUAGAGUCAGAAUGCAGGCUUUUCUCAUUUGAAAUCUAUUGAAUAAACAUCAGUAAAAGAAGCAAUCCAAGUUCUCAUGCCAAAUAUGUAUAUGUCCAAGACCAGGAUUUCUUCAUGUCUGAAUGUGGAUAUGGAGCCUAGAGUACUAGCAAGGUAAGUCCAGGUCCUUACCUCCACCUAAAAGUUCUGCCAUCAAGGAACAUCUGCUCAUUAUCUUCUGUU
This is a long non-coding RNA of Homo sapiens (human), 737 nucleotides long. Ensembl annotates it as long intergenic non-protein coding RNA 2790. The record is from Ensembl. Lineage: Eukaryota; Metazoa; Chordata; Mammalia; Primates; Hominidae.